UCAACUUCAUCUGUUCCUGAAGCCUCCAUAUUCAAACUCUAAAGAAAAAGCCAUCACUUGAUUCCAUUCUUUUAUAAAAUUCACUGUAUGUUCAAAGGGCGAGGGAGAAGUCGAAGAUGACCCGCACAAGGAAGAAGAAUCGGAAGAAGCUCCAACACCCUCCAGGAACCCAGACGGUUGGCCAGGGUCUGCACCCAGGGCAGGGCCCCGCAGAACCGGCCAUUCGGAGACUACAAACACCAAACUCCAACCUUCUCCACUCCGCCAGCCUCAAGCCGACCCCUCGGCGGCGACACGGGACUGCAUAACUGUACAGCGGCGCACGAGUCCGCACACCAGGAUACGCUCCGGCUCCUGCAGCGGCACCGAGCAGCGCGUACGCACCGCGGGACGUACGGGACAGGGCCCCGUGCGGCCACCGUAGCACCGGACGCUGAUGCCUCCGCAGGCCGCGAUCUCGCAGGCAACUCUGUCCCAGGCCCUAAGCUCCUGGGAUGCAGGCACAGAGCCCAGAGUCGUGCAACUGUGAGCGGCAGCCUCGUGUUAGGGUUUACAGCUGUCCCCCGCAGCUGUAACUACUGUAUCUAAGCUACCAGCUGCCACGCACCGUGAGUGUUGCGGCCUCGGGACUACAAGAUCCAGCAUGCACAGCUCUGGGUCCUUAAGACCAAACCUUCUUGGAUAAAAAUACUAAGUCUCUCUGCACCAAGGCAAACUGUGGUUAAGGGUGCUGAUUACAUCUUGGUGGAGCGUCUAGGGACGUAUGCAUUCAGUUUUUCACAUUCAGAUUCUCGUCAAGGAUUGAAAUACAGAACCGGCCUUUAGGAAAUGUGGAGAGAAAUACUAAAUAAUGACAAAAUGUAAUUCUACUAAUAUAUCCUUUUCAGUAACUGUUGAAGCAAUGCAUAAGAAAUAAGAGUAGAAACUAGAAGG
Peromyscus leucopus (white-footed mouse) is the source of this 933-nucleotide long non-coding RNA. RefSeq lists it as uncharacterized. The record is from RefSeq and is a predicted model, not a curated record. NCBI's taxonomy places the organism in Eukaryota, Metazoa, Chordata, Mammalia, Rodentia, Cricetidae. The transcript has 3 exons.